Molecule: ribosomal RNA, 468 nt
Filed under: uncultured bacterium
Lineage: Bacteria
Description: partial 16S ribosomal RNA
Rfam family: Bacterial small subunit ribosomal RNA
Source: RNAcentral
GACGAACGCUGGCGGCGUGCUUAACACAUGCAAGUCGAACGGAAAGGCCCUGCUUUUGUGGGGUGCUCGAGUGGCGAACGGGUGAGUAACACGUGAGUAACCUGCCCUUGGCUUUGGGAUAACUUCAGGAAACUGGGGCUAAUACCGGAUAGGAGCUCCUGCUGCAUGGUGGGGGUUGGAAAGUUUCGGCGGUUGGGGAUGGACUCGCGGCUUAUCAGCUUGUUGGUGGGGUAGUGGCUUACCAAGGCUUUGACGGGUAGCCGGCCUGAGAGGGUGACCAGCCACAUUGGGACUGAGAUACGGCCCAGACUCCUACGGGAGGCAGCAGUGGGGAAUAUUGCACAAUGGGCGGAAGCCUGAUGCAGCAACGCCGCGUGCGGGAUGACGGCCUUCGGGUUGUAAACCGCUUUCGCCUGUGACGAAGCGUGAGUGACGGUAAUGGGUAAAGAAGCACCGGCUAACUACGUG